UACGUAGGGACCAAGCGUUGUUCGGAUUUACUGGGCGUAAAGGGCGCGUAGGCGGCAAUUCAAGUCAGCUGUGAAAUCUCCGGGCUUAACUCGGAACGGUCAGCUGAUACUGCUUUGCUAGAGCGCAGAAGGGGCAAUCGGAAUUCUUGGUGUAGCGGUGAAAUGCGUAGAUAUCAAGAGGAACACCUGAGGUGAAGACGGGUUGCUGGGCUGACACUGACGCUGAGGCGCGAAAGCUAGGGUAGCAAACGGG
RNAcentral lists this ribosomal RNA (253 nucleotides) under uncultured bacterium. Its description in RNAcentral is "partial 16S ribosomal RNA". It matches the Rfam family "Bacterial small subunit ribosomal RNA", at positions 524 to 776 of the family's 1533-position model. The record is from RNAcentral.